Triticum aestivum (bread wheat) is the source of this 1845-nucleotide long non-coding RNA. RefSeq lists it as uncharacterized. Lineage: Eukaryota; Viridiplantae; Streptophyta; Magnoliopsida; Poales; Poaceae. The transcript is spliced from 8 exons. The record is from RefSeq and is a predicted model, not a curated record.
ACUCGGUCGCCUGCCACCUCUCCCAAGGCUUUCCCCGUUCCCCUGAUCCCCUCUCCCACGCCCCCUCUCGUCCCCAUCCUCUCCUCCCGCGCAUCGCCGCCGCACCAUGGCCUCCCCCGGCCCGAACCACCGCCGCCAGCCAAGGCCACCGUCCCCUGUCCACACCAAUUCCCCUCCCCUCCAUCCCAGACCUCUUCGCACCGUCUCUCUGUUCUCCCUGUUCACAGGCGGUUCGGCCGUCGCCAGAUCUGCGCCCAGGCCGGACGAACGACGGCCGGCCGACGCCCCCCGGCGCAGGAUCUUCGUAAAGAACCGGGAAGUGGAUUUCGUGAUGGAGACUGGUGCCAGGAAUAGAUGCAUACAUGAAAUCUAUAUAUAAAUACACGGAGAGUAGUGCCAGGGAUCAUGAGGAACCAAGAUGUUUUUCAGCUGAUAAUGUAUUAAGUGAUUUUCUUCAGAAGGACUUGUGGUCGGAGUUGUUUCAUCAUUACAAGAAAUUGGAAGUUAAACCACGUUUUUUAAAGAAUCUUUUCUAGAAGACAAGUACCCAGCAGAAUUCCCUUGCAAAUAUAGCUAUGGUCCAUUUCAGAAAAUAGAAGGUGUUGAAGUAUGCCUCUUUGGCAUGUAUGAUUUGGUGCAGAAUGUGCAGGACCCAAACCAACUUUAGGGUUAUCUGUCAUAUAUUGAUUCUGUCAGAUUCUCUAGACCUGGCGUAAAAAUAGUGUCCAGGGAGGCCUUGCAGACAUGUCUCUAUCAUGAAAUUCUGAUCAGUUAUCUUCAGUAUUGUAAGCAGCGGGUAUUCACUAGCUGUUACAUUUGGGCUUUCCCACCUUUGAAGGGUGAAAGAUUACUGCAGCUCGCUUGCCAUAUUUGAGGGAGAUUAUUUGCCAGGAGCUGCAGAAGAUACGAUCAACAAGCUUUUCCUCGAAGAUGAUAGAAAGUAAAGAAGACCAUCACAAAAAGAGCUUUGAGAGCUCAGUGAAUGUCAAUGAAGAAUGAAUAUCUGACAAAACACGGAUGGUCUGAAGAGGCAAGGACGCUAUGAACCAUGAUCUUGAUGGGAGGCUCAAGGAGUCCACAGGGGCGCUCUCUUUCUUGCCUUGGGCGUUCUUCCUGUUGUCUCGGCGCGCCCUCUUUGCAGCUCGAUUUGCUUUCUUCUGUGCCGCCUCCUGCUGGCGGUUCUUAUCCUCAAGAAGCUGCGCUGCCUUCUCGGCGGCAUGCACUCGGUCAUGGUUUUGAACCACCGAGAGGAUAAACAGUCCUUUCAGGUCAUGCUUCGAGCAAUUUAUAGGGUGUACCGCCAUCUGAACCUGUCAAUUCAAUUGUAGUGAUUAAUAUAAUAUAAAAAAUGAACAUGACAGUUUAUUUGGGUAUUGUGGUAUGAACAUAAUUUUUUUUCUGCCUCAGAUCUGUCUUAUGAUUCCUAGAUUGAACUGGGCAAGAACAAGAAGGUGGUGGUCCAUGAAGAUUGGACUCAAAGAAAUGUAGGUGACCAACAUGUAAUGGAGAGCCGUGGAGGGAGUUAAAAGUGAAGAAUUUGGGAGUUGCCCCAGGGAUGCAGAAAAACAGAGGAUGGCUUCUACUGGCGGCUGCUCAUUAAAAUUGCCACAAGUUUCUUUGAUGAAAGAGGAGGAUGGGAACUAAUGACAUGCAGAAUUGGAACUGGAAUUGUGAACUAAUGCUCGUUGGAGUAACUAAUCUGCUGAAUGUUGCCAGGCUGCAUUAUAUUUGGAUCUACUGUUUUGGUAGAUGUGAUUUCGUUGUGUGUUGCAUGCCACAUGUUGCUGGGGACUCAUGUUGGAUGACCCUGGGGUAUAGAUUUUUUGGCACAGGUGCCGCUGUUCA